UUUUCAUUUUACGGGAAGUGAUGGAUUAGACCACACGUUCUCUAGCAAAAAAAUAUAAAAAAAAAUAAAAAAAAUAUAAAAAAAUCAUAAAAAACCCAAAAAAAUUGAAAAAACUUGAAAAAUCAUAAAAUUUUGUGUUACUUUAAGAACAGUUUUAUAUAAAAAAAAGCAAAAAAAAAGAAGCAAAAGGUAACUUUGUGAAUCGACAUUGUUUCCCCCCCGAAGUGAGUGAUUUCACCAUCGUCGAUAAGUAGCGUGACACACUUUCUGAUUUCUCAAAAGAUAGACGCACAGAAAAAAAGAAAAUUACAGCAGCCCCAAAAUGGCAUCUCUGUACGUUGGAGACCUUCACCAAGACAUCACGGAGGCGAUGCUCUUUGAGAAAUUUUCCACGGCGGGCCCCGUAAUGUCCAUCCGCGUGUGCCGCGACAUGAUGACCCGGCGCUCCCUGGGCUACGCCUAUGUGAACUUCCAACAACCCGCUGACGCGGAACGUGCCCUGGAUACGAUGAAUUUUGACUUGCUGAAGAGCCGCCCGAUUCGCAUAAUGUGGUCCCAGCGUGAUCCAUCGCUACGGAAGAGUGGCGUUGGGAAUGUGUUCAUUAAGAAUUUGGACAAGAGUAUCGAUAAUAAGGCGAUGUAUGACACAUUUUCGGCCUUUGGUAAUAUUUUGAGUUGCAAAGUGGCACAGGAUGAGAAGGGUGCUUCCAAGGGCUAUGGGUUUGUUCAUUUUGAAACUGAAGAAUCCGCCAAUACGUCUAUUGACAAAGUGAAUGGCAUGUUGCUCAAUGGCAAGAAGGUCUUCGUUGGACGUUUCAUUCCACGCAAGGAGCGCGAGAAGGAGCUCGGUGAGAAGGCUAAGCUCUUCACUAAUGUCUACGUGAAGAAUUUCGGCGAUGAACUCAACGAUGAGACGCUCAAGACGAUGUUUGAGAAGUACGGCGGUAUCACCAGUCAUAAGGUGAUGAUCAAGGAUGAUGGCAAGUCUCGUGGCUUUGGAUUUGUUGCCUUUGAUAAUGCCGAAGCUGCCGAAUCCGCCGUGUCUGCCCUUAAUGGGAAGGAGCUAAACGACGGGAAAACCUUGUACGUGGGACGUGCGCAAAAGAAGACUGAGCGUCAAAUGGAGCUGAAGCGCCGUUUUGAGCAGAUUAAGAAUGAACGACUGAGCCGUAGUCAGGGUGUGAAUUUGUACGUGAAGAAUCUCGAUGAUACCAUUGAUGAUGAGAUUUUACGUAAGGAAUUCACGCAAUUUGGCACAAUUACAUCAGCAAAGGUCAUGAUGGAGGAUGGACGUUCCAAAGGAUUUGGGUUUGUUUGCUUUUCCGCACCGGAUGAGGCAACACGUGCCGUCACGGAGAUGAAUGGGAGGAUUGUGGGUACGAAACCAUUGUAUGUGGCAUUGGCGCAGCGCAAGGAGGAUCGUAAGGCGCAUCUGGCGAGUCAGUACAUGCAGAGGAUGGCCAAUAUGAGGAUGCAACAGAUGGGACAGCUGUAUCAGCCAAGUGGAGCUGCGGGUUACUUUGUACCGUCAAUUCCACCAACUCAGCGCUUCUAUGGGCCACAGAUGACGCAAUUGCGUACAACUCCACGUUGGGCAACACAACCGGCUAUUCGUCAAUCGGGUGGUGUGCAGAAUGCCAAUUCGGGCGCCGUGGCUGUGGGUGUACCCGCGGCGGGAUAUCCGAACUUGUCAUCGGGUGCCGGUGGGGCGCAGUAUCGUCCCGGUGGCGGGGCUGCGGGUGUACGAGCUGCCCAGCAGGCGGGUCAAUCGGCACAGAAUGCUCAGGCGUCGCUGCGGAAUGUAGCACGUCCCAUUACGGGGCAACAGAAUGCCGCUGGAGCCAUUCAGGGGCGUCAAAUUGCAGCCCCAGUGGCAAAUACGGGACGUACCGGGAACUACAAGUACACGACAAAUAUGCGCAAUCCGCAGCAGCAGCUCGUGUCUCUGGGAGCGGCUCAGCCAGUACAGCAGGCUGUGCAUGUAAAGGGGCAGGAACCAUUGACGGCUUCUAUGCUGGCAUCUGCCCUACCGGCAGAGCAGAAGCAGAUGCUGGGUGAGCGCCUAUUCCCGCUCAUUGAGAACAUGUACCCCCAGAUGGCGGGCAAGAUUACCGGAAUGUUGCUCGAGAUUGACAAUUCUGAGCUACUUCACAUGCUUGAGCACAGUGAGUCGCUCAAGGCAAAGGUAGAGGAGGCUGUUGCUGUCCUCCAGGCACAUCAGGCGAAGCAGCAAGUUGUGACAUCUGUAAAACUCGACUACAAGACCCAGGAGUAAUAGCAACAACAACAAAAAAAAAACAUCGCGCGCGUGGAGAGAGAAAGAUUCAACAGGAUUUUUAUUCAGGAAACACACCGUGCUCGAUCAGGAGAGUUUUCACGUGAAUUUUCAAGUAUUGUUCGUUCCUCUGAUGAUGGCAAAUCUCUUUUUGGUGGUGGUUUAGUUUUUUUUCUCUUAAUUUCCUUCCAAUUUGAAUCAAUUUUUCUUUUUUUUUUUCAUUCAUUCAUUUAGUUAAUUUCUUUUGCGCAAAAAAUACUUGAAUUUCUUUUAAUUGUGUAUAAAUUACUUUUUCUCAGUUGAAUAAACAAAAAAAAAGAAACAAGAAAUCUUCAAUUUCGAAAAUUUGACACGAUGAGUUCUUUCUUCCGCAGACACUUAGUUAAUAACACAAUAUUUUUAUACAUAAAAUGAAGAAAAAGAAACCUGUAUCGAAGAAUCAAGGAAUAAAAAUUACAAUAAAGGAAAAUAAAAAGAGAAAA
This is an RNA transcript of Lutzomyia longipalpis, 2757 nucleotides long. It is a transcript of the gene named polyadenylate-binding protein, with no coding region annotated. The record is from RefSeq and is a predicted model, not a curated record. Lineage: Eukaryota; Metazoa; Arthropoda; Insecta; Diptera; Psychodidae. The transcript is spliced from 5 exons.